GUGAGAGAGCGCUUUUUUGUUGUUGUUGUUGUGCUAAGCUAAAAGGCAGAAUGCUACAGGCAUGGCCCUAAAGAAUGUAGCCUGAUGGGCAGUGUAGUCCGUGCUGCAGGGAGAAUGGACUACCAUACCCGUUAUGUGUCUGUGAGCGAGGGAGGGAGAGAAAGGAAAAGUCCGAGCUGUCACGGAACAAAAACGGGAGCUGGAAGCAUGUAAAUAUAAUAAUAACCACUGCAGCCAAGAAGAGUGCCUGACGAGCCCAUUUGUCAAAGAGCAUCUCGGAGCUGUCACUGCCUGCUCGCCACACAGGAGGAAAGUUCCUCCGUGCACUUGCUGUUACCCACAAGGCACCUGGACAGCAGAAAGCAUGUUGUGGUGGUGCAGCAGCUGACGUGAGGCAAAGACAAUCAGCACCUGGUUCUCAGGAGAGCGGAGUCUGAAGCUGCCCCGGUGAUGGAGACAGACGAAAAAAAGGGGACUUUCUCCAAAGAUGGGACCACCCAGGAUUUGCAUACUUGAGGUUUUUACUUUGCUUUUCUUUCUUGCCUCUACUCGACGCUGUUGCCACGUUUUCCCUGGACCAGACUUCUGGCACACCUCGCACUCCCGCUCCUUAGUCACUGUCACUGAAACACAAAGAACCCAACAGAGAGCUGUGUCCUGUUCCAGACUGUCUGACCUCCAGUCCCUGGAAGCCUUCACCACCUUGCAAUAUUUGCAAAUAGAAUAUCCCCUUACUCUGCUGUGGAGCCAGAGCCCUUAUUUUGAACAACCAC
Molecule: long non-coding RNA, 773 nt
Organism: Oreochromis aureus
Lineage: Eukaryota; Metazoa; Chordata; Actinopteri; Cichliformes; Cichlidae
Source: Ensembl